GUUAGGAAUAUUGGACAAUGGGCGAAAGCCUGAUCCAGCCAUGCCGCGUGAACGAUGAAGGCCUUCGGGUUGUAAAGUUCUUUAGCCGAUGAUUAUAAUGACUGUAGUCGGAAAAUAAGCCCCGGCUAACUUCGUGCCAGCAGCCGCGGUAAUACGAAGGGGGCGAGCGUUAUUCGGAAUCACUGGGCGUAAAGCGUGCGUAGGCGGUUUUGUAAGUUAGGAGUGAAAGCCCAGGGCUCAACCUUGUAAUUGCUCUUAAAACUGCAAGGCUCGAAUCUCGGAGAGGAUAGCGGAAUUUCCAGUGUAGCAGUGAAAUGCGUAGAUAUUGGAAGGAACACCAGUGGCGUAAGCGGCUAUCUGGACGAGUAUUGACGCUGAGGCACGAAAGCGUGGGGAUCAAACAGGAUUAGAAACCCUGGUAGUCC
RNAcentral lists this ribosomal RNA (425 nucleotides) under uncultured bacterium. Its description in RNAcentral is "partial 16S ribosomal RNA". It matches the Rfam family "Bacterial small subunit ribosomal RNA", at positions 354 to 796 of the family's 1533-position model. The record is from RNAcentral.